GAAAUGCGAUAAGUAAUGUGAAUUGCAGAAUUCCGUGAAUCAUCGAAUCUUUGAACGCACAUUGCGCCCUCUGGCAUUCCGGGGGGCAUGCCUGUCCGAGCGUCAUUACGCACCCUCAAGCCCGGCUUGUGUGAUGGGCCCUGGCGUCUCGUUCGCGAGACGGGCCCGAAAGGCAGCGGCGGCGUCGACCCGAAGAGCCCGAGCGUAUGGGGACUUUUGUCACACGUUUGCGGUGCGGACCGGCGCCUGCUUGACUUUUCUGAUUAUCCAGGUUGACCUCGGAUCAGGUAGGGAUACCCGCUGAACUUAAGC
Molecule: unclassified non-coding RNA, 312 nt
Filed under: plant metagenome
Description: partial contains 5.8S ribosomal RNA, internal transcribed spacer 2, and large subunit ribosomal RNA
Rfam family: 5.8S ribosomal RNA (bases 1-105)
Source: RNAcentral